Molecule: unclassified non-coding RNA, 318 nt
Filed under: uncultured fungus
Lineage: Eukaryota; Fungi
Description: partial contains 5.8S ribosomal RNA and internal transcribed spacer 2
Rfam family: 5.8S ribosomal RNA (bases 1-133)
Source: RNAcentral
UGGCUCUGGCAUNGAUGAAGAACGCAGCGAAAUGCGAUAAUUAAUGUGAAUUGCAGAAUUUAGUGAAUCAUCGAAUCUUUGAACGCACAUUGCGCCCCUUGGUAUUCCGGGGGGCAUGCCUGUUCGAGCGUCAUUUCAACCCUCAAGCGCAGCUUGGUCUUGGGCCACGCCGGCAACGGCGGGCCUCAAACACGAUGGCGGCGCCGUCGGGUCCCUCAGCGUAGUACGUCUUCUCGCUGCUGGGCCCCGGCGGGCGCUGGCCAGCAACCCCCCCAAGCCUCCACGGUUGACCUCGGAUCAGGUAGGGAUACCCGCUGA